AAGUCGUAACAAGGUUUCCGUAGGUGAACCUGCGGAAGGAUCAUUAACACGUAUCCAACGUUAAACAACCCUGUGAACUUUCAACCGCUCUUGUAGCCCACGCGGAACAGCAAUCCCGGUAAAUCAAUUGGAGAAAAGGUUUUGAUUCGGGACCUCUGUCCAUCAGGCUACAAUCGAGCUAGGAGCAGUGGCAUGGUUUCCCUAAGCAGUGCAGAAGGAUCCACUGAGUAAGGAUAACGCCUCACGGUUGCCAGAGGUAACAGUUGUUCGGUUUGUGCCCCAACGUUUCCGUGGGGCCAGAUAGGGCAAGGUGUGAAUGAGGGGGCAUAUAGCCCUGUGACAUGUCUGCCGGCCGGUGAUCAACAAUGGAUAUCUUGGUUCUC
RNAcentral lists this unclassified non-coding RNA (383 nucleotides) under fungal sp. RNAcentral describes it as "partial internal transcribed spacer region". The stretch from base 1 to 46 matches the Rfam family "Eukaryotic small subunit ribosomal RNA", at positions 1786 to 1831 of the family's 1831-position model. The record is from RNAcentral. Lineage: Eukaryota; Fungi.